This 460-nucleotide ribosomal RNA is filed under the name uncultured bacterium. RNAcentral describes it as "partial 16S ribosomal RNA". It matches the Rfam family "Bacterial small subunit ribosomal RNA", at positions 338 to 795 of the family's 1533-position model. The record is from RNAcentral.
CCUACGGGUGGCAGCAGUGAGGAAUAUUGGUCAAUGGGCGCGAGCCUGAACCAGCCAAGUAGCGUGAAGGAUGACUGCCCUACGGGUUGUAAACUUCUUUUAUAAAGGAAUAAAGUGAGGCACGUGUGCCUUUUUGUAUGUACUUUAUGAAUAAGGAUCGGCUAACUCCGUGCCAGCAGCCGCGGUAAUACGGAGGAUCCGAGCUUUAUCCGGAUUUAUUGGGUUUAAAGGGAGCGUAGAUGGGUUGUUAAGUCAGAUGUGAAAGUUUGCGGCUCAACCGUAAAAGUGCAAUUGAUACUGGCAGUGUUGAGUACGGUUGAAGUAGGCGGAAUUCGUGGUGUAGCGGUGAAAUGCUGAGAUAUCACGAAGAACUCCGAUUGCGAAGGCAGCUUACUAAACUGCAACUGACGUUGAGGCUCGAAAGUGUGGGUAGCAAACAGGAUUAGAUACCCGAGGAGUC